Long non-coding RNA from Megalobrama amblycephala (Wuchang bream), 1427 nucleotides. RefSeq lists it as uncharacterized. Lineage: Eukaryota; Metazoa; Chordata; Actinopteri; Cypriniformes; Xenocyprididae. The transcript has 5 exons. The record is from RefSeq and is a predicted model, not a curated record.
UCAAAUGCCACCAUAGUAUUUUUAUUGAAGCCACGUAAGUUAGAUGGCGCUGUGGGAUAGCGUUAACAUGGCCCAACACUGCGCAACGAAGAAGGCGAUGGGGAAGGCGGAAAGUCUCAUUUAAAAAUACCCGCUUUUUUGUUUCUCGUCACUUUAACCUUCUGCAAUGAUCACGGCAGCACGAACAACUAUUUUAUAUUAUUGUUAUUAGACAUAAACAAUCAGUUGACUUGAGCAGAGCGGCGGUUGAUACAACUUCUCCUGUGCACUCAAACAAUUCCCUGUCUUCAUCAUUUGACUCCACCGACUCACAGGACACACUCAUUAUUGAAGAAAGGUUUUCAAGUACACGAAUGAGGCUCGAUGAUGAAGCUAAAAAAGUACAUCACAACCAAGGAAUGUGAAUGAGAAAUAUCCCAGAGUAAUUGUGGUGUUCCUGUAUCUCAGUGGACCCCACCCCCACGAAAAGGAUUGUCUUGUCAAGGCCAGAAAAGGCGUCUACAUCUCAAGUGGGGAUAUCUUGUCUUCUAGAAGAGUGAAACAAGCAUUGAGGAGCAUCUUCAAGACAUCGCUGGAAGUGCUCAGUCCUAUCACCUGGCUGUUGAAACCAAGAAUUCAGUUCACCAGUUCUUCAUUCUUGAUCAACAUGUCAUUCCAUGCAAGUCAGCCUCUUCUUUUGUUGCCUUUUGAUGAAAUGUUUAAUGGGAUUAUGUUUAAUGUUUAAUGGGUUUAAUUCACCUAAAAAUGAGAAUUCUGUCAUUAACUCAUGCCAUUCCAAACCCGUAAGACCUUUGUUCAUCUUUGAAACAACAAUGAAGAUAUUUUAAUGAAAUCUGAAAGUUUACGACUGCUUUCAUUUCAGCAAAUCACUCAUGCGUCGUGGUGCUCUCAUGUACGCAAGUCCGGUUUUGCGUUGCUUCAUAAAACUGAAGUUAAAUCAACAGAGUCACAUGGGUAACUUUAAUGAUGUCUUUACUGCCUUUCUGCACCUUGAAAGUGGUAGUUGUGUAGGCUGUCAAUGAAGUGACAGAAGUCUCCCAGAUUUCAUCAAAAAUAUCUUCAUUUGUGUUCUGAAAAUGAACAAAAGCCUUACAGGUUUAGAAUGACAUGAGGGUGAGUUAAGGAGAGACUUUAUUUUUUGGUGAACUAAUUUUAAGGCACACUUUGUUUUGGGCACCAUUUAUAACACUAUUCUACACAAGAUGUACACUCUUGUUGUCAGAAUGAAAGUGUACAACAAAUAUGCUGGCAAAGUGAAGUCCUUGUAUUGCUGAGGUUAGAGCAAGGCUGCUUAGCUAGGUGGUUCAACAGAUUCUGUACUGCAUACAGUGAUGUAUUGUCAUUUCAUGCAGAUGUGAUGUAUUUUUGUGCAUAUACGUGUAUGUUUUUUGAGCCUGACAACGUUUAAAUAAAUGUUUUAAAUGUGA